RNAcentral lists this ribosomal RNA (90 nucleotides) under Acanthosepion pharaonis. Lineage: Eukaryota; Metazoa; Mollusca; Cephalopoda; Sepiida; Sepiidae. The record is from RNAcentral.
CAUGUUUCCAUACGAUCACAGAAUUUAAGCAACGUCGAACCUUGUCAGUACCUAGAUGGGUGACCUCUUGGGAAAAACAGGUGUUGUAAG